CCCUUAGAUGUUCUGGGCUGCACGCGCGCUACACUGACGAAGUCAGCGAGCAUGUCCUACGCCGACAGGUGCGGGGAAUCUUGUCAAACUUCGUCGUGAUGGGGAUUGAUUAUUGAAAUUCUUGAUCAUCAACGAGGAAUUCCUAGUAAGCGCAAGUCAGCAGCUUGCGUUGAUUACGUCCCUGCCCUUUGUACACACCGCCCGUCGCUACUACCGAUUGAAUGGUUUAGUGAGAUCUUCGGAUUGGCGCCACUGCGGCUCAGCAAUGGGCUCGGUGGAUGCCGAAAAGUUGAUCAAACUUGAUCAUUUAGAGGAAGUAAAAGUCGUAACA
Molecule: ribosomal RNA, 331 nt
Filed under: uncultured eukaryote
Lineage: Eukaryota
Description: partial 18S ribosomal RNA
Rfam family: Eukaryotic small subunit ribosomal RNA
Source: RNAcentral